AUCGCUGCCCCCCCACACAACUCGUCCCCCACGCGGGAUGUUUGUGCGGGCAGGGGCACACACUGGCCUCCCGUGCGCACCGUCGUGCGGAUGGCUUAAAUUCGAGUCCCCGACGCUCGUCGUCGCGACACUACGGUGGUUGAUCCAACCUCGGUACCGCGUCUCGACCUCGACGUCGCAUCCACGGGCUCCUGCACGACCCUCCGAACGCCGCCCCCAAAAGGACGACGCUCUCGAC
Molecule: ribosomal RNA, 238 nt
Filed under: Cucumis myriocarpus
Lineage: Eukaryota; Viridiplantae; Streptophyta; Magnoliopsida; Cucurbitales; Cucurbitaceae
Source: RNAcentral